UACGUAGGGUGCGAGCGUUGUCCGGAAUUAUUGGGCGUAAAGGGCUUGUAGGUGGCGUGUCGCGUCUGUCGUGAAAGGCUCCGGCUUAACUGGAGUAGUGCGGUGGGUACGGGCAUGCUUGAGUGUGGUAGGGGAGAUUGGAAUUCCUGGUGUAGCGGUGGAAUGCGCAGAUAUCAGGAGGAACACCGGUGGCGAAGGCGGAUCUCUGGGCCAUUACUGACGCUGAGGAGCGAAAGCGUGGGGAGCGAACAGGAUUAGAUACCCU
This 265-nucleotide ribosomal RNA is filed under the name uncultured prokaryote. Its description in RNAcentral is "partial 16S ribosomal RNA". It matches the Rfam family "Bacterial small subunit ribosomal RNA", at positions 524 to 788 of the family's 1533-position model. The record is from RNAcentral.